This 22-nucleotide microRNA is filed under the name Caenorhabditis elegans. Its description in RNAcentral is "cel-miR-2220-5p". Lineage: Eukaryota; Metazoa; Nematoda; Chromadorea; Rhabditida; Rhabditidae. The record is from miRBase by way of RNAcentral.
GUAAGACCAUAAACUAUUUAUC